This 77-nucleotide transfer RNA is filed under the name Spiroplasma poulsonii. RNAcentral's name for it is "tRNA-Arg". It matches the Rfam family "tRNA". From Rfam's summary of the family: Transfer RNA (tRNA) molecules are approximately 80 nucleotides in length. RNAcentral also lists the same sequence under 7 other names. Lineage: Bacteria; Bacillati; Mycoplasmatota; Mollicutes; Entomoplasmatales; Spiroplasmataceae. The record is from RNAcentral.
GCCCACGUAGCUCAGUAGGAUAGAGCAUGCGCCUUCUAAGCGUAGGGUCGUGAGUUCGAAUCUCUCCGUGGGCGCCA